AUGUGCAACUGUACAGGUACAACAAUCUUCAUCAUGGAAAACUUCACCCCCCAAAAUUGUUUAAGUUACAUUUUCAUCUACUUUGGGUGCACGUGGGAUAUAACUUGGCUACGCAAAGCGUGGCAUGGAGCCGUUGGUCGAUUGCGAGCUCCGGUCGCUGACCCAAACGUCCUGCACCGACACCGGCGACCGGGCUUUCUUCGCCGCUGUGGUGCCCGGUCCAUCGAGCCCCACGUCGGCGACGAGGUCGGUCAUGCCGGAGCCUGGUGCGGCGUCCCUGAUCCGGCACAGCUCGGCGGCCACCUCGCUCAUGGACGGCCGGACGUCCUUGUCGAACGCCAGGCACUGGAAGGCGAGCUCGCUGACGUGCCGGACCGACUCCAUGACCCACUCCUCGCCGUGGCGGAGGAGCGCCAGGUCGACGAUCUCUUCGACUCUCCCCUUGCCGAUCCGGUCGAGCGCGAGGCAUGCCAGGUUGACCUCGUUCGCCGGCCGGCCGAAGUCGACGACCUUCAUGGCGGUGAUGAGCUCGAGCAGCACCACGCCGAAGCUGUACACGUCGCUCUUGUCGGAGAGGUGGAAGCUCUGGUGGUACUCCGGGUCGACGUACCCCGGCGUGCCCUGCGGCGCGGUGGAGACGUGCGAGCGCGACGCGUCCUCGGCGCCGCGCGCGGUGCGGGAGAGGCCGAAGUCGGCGAGCUUGGCGCGGAGGUCGGCGCCGAGGAGGAUGUUGCCGGACUUGACGUCGCGGUGGAAGAUGGGCGGGCGCGCGGCGUGCAGGUACGCGAUGGCGGCGGCCGUGCCCGCCGCGACGCCGAGCCGCGCGCGCCACGGCAGCGUGGCGUCGCCGCCGCCGUGGAGGUGGUGGGAGAGGGUGCCGUUGGGGACGAGCUCGUAGACGAGGAUCUGCUCGCCGCGGUCGAGGCAGCAGCCGAGGAGGCGGACGAGGUUGGGGUGGCUGAGCGAGGAGAUGAGCCUGAUCUCGUUGAGGAGCAGCGCCACCGCCCGGCCGCCGUCGUCGUCGUGGUCGUCGUGGCGGCACCGGAGGCGCUUGAUGGCCACGAGCGCCGUCGAGUUCGCCGGGAGCCUGCCGACGUAGACCGUGCCGUAGGCGCCCGUGCCGAGGCGGUGCGUGUGGGAGAAGGAGUUGGUCGCGCGCGCCACCUCGUUGUACGAGUACACCGGCACGCCGCUCGACGUCGCCGCCUCCGACAGCAGCCGCAUCGCCGCGAGCCGGCUGGAGCCCUGCCGCCCCUUGCCGACAGAGCGCCGGCGUCGUGCCCAGCAGAGCAGCAGGAGCACGCCGGCCGCCGCCGCCACGCCCACCACGACACCUGCUAUUAA
RNAcentral lists this ribosomal RNA (1344 nucleotides) under Triticum aestivum (bread wheat). RNAcentral's name for it is "partial small subunit ribosomal RNA". Lineage: Eukaryota; Viridiplantae; Streptophyta; Magnoliopsida; Poales; Poaceae. The record is from RNAcentral.